Long non-coding RNA from Rhopilema esculentum, 2711 nucleotides. RefSeq lists it as uncharacterized. The record is from RefSeq and is a predicted model, not a curated record. NCBI's taxonomy places the organism in Eukaryota, Metazoa, Cnidaria, Scyphozoa, Rhizostomeae, Rhizostomatidae.
GAUAAUUCAGAAUUCGUCAAACUUUGCAAGUGCAGAUCACCUGACGUGGAAAAGUCUUCGUGUUUUUGCUUGUUAAAGGCAAACGGAAAAUAUUCAAUGAAAACGUUUAAGCAAAUCAAAGCACGGUCUUUGAUUGGUUGUUUGUCGAUAGGCGUGAAAUUUUGUCCAAUCGCUCACGCGCAAGAACAGAAAGAUUUUGAAGUACAGAGGAUGAGCCUUAUGACCCUCAAGGCCACUAUAAAACUAUAAAAGGGUGAAUAAGCAGAUAAACAGAUUUAAAGAGGUUUCAACUGCAAGUGACUCUGCUGUUUAGAACUUCAAAAUGCGGUCGUUUGCAACAGUUCUCGUCUUUGGCUUCCUGAUCAUGAGCUUCUUUGCAAUGCAAGCCGAUUUGCUUCCAACGGCACACCAUGGUAUUGGAAGCGCCAGUUCCCCGAUGGAGCACGGGGUGGAGCUGAAAAAGCAAGAGGCAACACGAUUUUUGAAGAAAAGAUCUCCUGGGUUGCUUGAGGAGUGUAGGGAAGGCUGUAGUUGGGAAGAAGCCUUUGAGUACUUGAAAUGAAUGCAUUGACAAAAGUUACAUGUUGCAGAUUUUUUGAUAACUAAAUUCGCUGAAUGACUCUGGUAGUGACAAUCUUGUUUAAAAUAGUUUUGAUUUUGCAUUAUUCCAAAAGAUAACAAUAAUAUGUCUGGUCUAAGAUUUUUAUAAGGUUUUUAUUUGACUAUCGCCUAGCUUUUUUAUAAAUCGUUAAAAACUUGUGAAACCAAAUGAUACAGAAUAGAUAAAAAGAUAUCAGAUAGAAAAACAAUAGCAUUUGAUUUAAUUGUCCUUUUAAAUUCAUAAUUGCUAGACUUGGGAUACGCAAAGACGAAUUUCUGAUCGGUAGCGUAUUCCACUAACACGUCUUUGUUCAUAUUUUGUCGUGCAUUCGUGGACAAACCUGCGCAAAAAAGGAAGUGCCAACGAUUUCUCAUUUAGAGACACGAUGAUUUUUGCAUCGUUGGUGCUGUCUAGGAUUCUAAAUGGACCGGUUUGAGAAGUUUUUUGGGCGAACAGCUAGAUCCAAACUAUUCUUUUCUCUUAACGUUAAAAUCAAAACAAUUUUUAAAUGACUUUGCAAAAUCAAGGCAAUAUCUAACUGAAAUAAAAUCUAUGCCGUGUGCAUAUUGUCCCUUUUAAAGAAAAUGCUCACCAGCAGCUUGUCAAAAGGAUAAUGUCAAGAAAUUAUAAAGUCUUUCGUUAAAAAGUACUGGAACUAAAACGGAGAAGUUUCUUUUUGAAACCUACCGCUGAUGGUGUAAAAUUGUAAAAUACUGUUAAUGGCUCGGCAAUUAUGUUCUUGUGUUCAAAGCGUGUUACUUUAACAGAAGCAAGUUCAAUUAUAGUUUGUAGAGUUUUUAGUUCCGCUUUUUAAAUAGAUAAUAUACUUGUAACGCCGUUGGGAACAAUUUUAUUCAUACCCAAAACGAAUGCGUCCGUUACCGAUUGAUCUAGAAACGACUACUCACGCCCAGAUUUCCGGUCAUUUACAAGAUGAUUGUUAUGAAUUAAUUUCUUUCUUUUUGAUAAAGUGCUUCAAAUGGCAAAGCAUUUGAUCAUAAAUAGCAAUGACAUGCCAGUCAAUCUAUUAUUGAUCUCUGAAAUGAUGGAAAUUGCAAUAUUAAAGCAACUGUUUGAGUGGUGCUGGGGAAAAAACGGAAGGUUGAUUGGUCAAACGUAAUGUAAAUUGCCUGUUUAGACCUGCUGUUUCAGCUCCUACGCCAAAGUAUAUACUGAGAUGAACCCAAACCAUAUCAUGUUAAGAGUGGAGACAUCUGCUCCCAAUUCCUUCACAAUUUCAGCCACUGGUAAGGUACCUUAGCACAGCGGUUACACAUAGGACAAACUGCUGUUAAGCAACAAAUUCCUAGGUAAAAAAGUGGUUGCCUCACACGCUAGAAGACUCCGGAUUCAGGUACUGGUUUUGGUAGUAUCCAGCACUGACCUCUUUACCAACCUUUCACCACAAGUGCAGACCACAAGUGCAGGUCAUUGGAGGUGGAAAAGUUUUCGUGUUUUGGCUUGUCUAGAGAAAACGGAAGGUAUGCAGAAAAAUGGUUGAGCCAACCACAGCACAGCAUUAGAUUGGUUGCUCGCGAUAGGUGUGAAAAAUUCGACCAAUCAUUCGAGCGCAAGGACCAGGAGAUUUAUAAGAGGAGAAAGAUGUACUUUCAACCCUCAAGGUCCGAAGGUUAUAAAAAGUGAAUUAGCAGAUAAACAGAUUUAAAGAGGUUUAAACCUGCAAGUGACUCUGCUGUUUAGAACUUCAAAAUGCGGUCGUUUGCAACAGUUGUCAUCUUUGGCUUUCUGAUCAUGAGCUUCUUUGCAAUGCAAGCCGAUUUGCUUCCAACGGCACACCAUGAUGUUGGAAGCGCCAGUUCCUUGAAGAAGCCAAAAUUGGGGUUGAUAAAGGCAAAGGCAACACGGUUUUUGAAAAAGAGAUCUCCUGGAUUAUUGGAAGAAUGCAGAGAGGGCUGCAGUAACGAAGAAAUCAGAGAAGUGUUUUAGCGAAUGCGUUCAUGACCCUUGCAUGUUUUUGGUGAUUUCCAUAAUCGAAGACCAUGAUAUAAAAAAUCCUGUUGAAAAAUUCAGUUUUCUUUCUGCCUAGUUGCGAAUUGUAGUUAUCAUUUGUUUAUUGCUUUGUGAACCAAUGAAGAUCGCAGAUAUCUGA